Molecule: ribosomal RNA, 546 nt
Filed under: Alternaria brassicicola
Lineage: Eukaryota; Fungi; Ascomycota; Dothideomycetes; Pleosporales; Pleosporaceae
Description: SSU rRNA
Rfam family: Bacterial small subunit ribosomal RNA
Source: RNAcentral
UUGCAGGAAUGAGAGUUAAUAUAAUAAGUUAUUAACUUGCUUGACUAGGUUCAGCACCACUUAUAAAGUUCUGGAUAAAGCUUAUUAUGAAAACUUUAUAUCCAUAGGUCUCGACCAAAUCUUGUGCCAGCAGUCGCGGUAAGACAAGGGAGACGAGUGUUAUUCAUCUUUAACAGGUAUAUAGGGUACCUAGACGGUGUGCAAUGGCUUAAAUAAGUACCUGGUACACUUGAGUUUGAUAUGUGAGAGGAAUAUGUCGGAAUUGUUGGAGGAAAGAUGAAAUUUGUUAAUACCAAUAGGACUGAUAACGGCGAAGGCAAACCUCUAUGUACAUGUACUUGCUAUUUCUGAAAAAAAAAGAAAUUUCUCGUAUAAAAGAUAUCAGAUAGAUAAAGAGGAAAAGAGCAAUGUACUAUAACUGACGUUGAGGGACGAAGGCUCAGAGAGUGAAGAGGAUUAGAUACCCCCGUAACCUGGGCAGACAAUGAUGAGUGCCAUAGGUUGGCUUUAAGGCGGAACUAUAAAUGAAAGUGGAAGCACUCCACC